RNAcentral lists this ribosomal RNA (253 nucleotides) under uncultured bacterium. RNAcentral's name for it is "partial 16S ribosomal RNA". It matches the Rfam family "Bacterial small subunit ribosomal RNA", at positions 524 to 776 of the family's 1533-position model. The record is from RNAcentral.
UACGUAGGGUGCAAGCGUUAAUCGGAAUUACUGGGCGUAAAGCGUGCGCAGGCGGUUAUAUAAGACAGUUGUGAAAUCCCCGGGCUCAACCUGGGAACUGCAUCUGUGACUGUAUAGCUAGAGUACGGUAGAGGGGGAUGGAAUUCCGCGUGUAGCAGUGAAAUGCGUAGAUAUGCGGAGGAGCACCGAUGGCGAAGGCAGCCCCCUGGGCUAACACUGACGCUCAUGCACGAAAGCGUGGGGAGCAAACAGG